RNAcentral lists this ribosomal RNA (460 nucleotides) under uncultured bacterium. RNAcentral's name for it is "partial 16S ribosomal RNA". It matches the Rfam family "Bacterial small subunit ribosomal RNA", at positions 338 to 795 of the family's 1533-position model. The record is from RNAcentral.
CCUACGGGAGGCAGCAGUGAGGAAUAUUGGUCAAUGGGCGCAAGCCUGAACCAGCCAAGUCGCGUGAAGGAUGACUGCCCUACGGUUUGUAACCUUCUUUUAUAAAGGCAUAAAGUGAGGCACGUGUGCCUUUUUCUAUGUACUUUAUGCAUAAGGAUCGGCUAACUCCGUGCCAGCAGCCGCGGUAAUACGGAGGAUCCGAGCGUUAUCCUGAUUUAUGGGGUUUAAAGGGAGCGUAGGUGGGUGGUUAAGUCAGUUGUGAAAGUUUGCGGCUCAACCGUAAAAUUGCAAUUGAUACUGGCAGUCUUGAGUGCAGUUGAGGUAGGCGGAAUUCGUGGUGUAGCGGUGAAAUGCUUAGAUAUCACGAAGAACUCCGAUGGCGAAGGCAGCAUACUAAAAUGCCACUGACAUUGAUGCUCGAAAGUGUGGGUAUCAAACAGGAUUAGAUACCCGUGUAGUC